RNAcentral lists this ribosomal RNA (298 nucleotides) under uncultured gamma proteobacterium MB10g-MO2. RNAcentral describes it as "partial 16S ribosomal RNA". It matches the Rfam family "Bacterial small subunit ribosomal RNA", at positions 213 to 504 of the family's 1533-position model. Lineage: Bacteria; Pseudomonadati; Pseudomonadota; Gammaproteobacteria. The record is from RNAcentral.
UCGCGCUAUCAGAUGAGCCUGCGUUGGAUUAGCUAGUUGGURGGGUAAAGGCCUACCAAGGCGACGAUCUAUAGCUGGUCUGAGAGGACGAUCAGCCACACUGGGACUGAGACACGGCCCAGACUCCUACGGGAGGCAGCAGUGGGGAAUAUUGGACAAUGGGCGCAAGCCUGAUCCAGCAAUACCGCGUGUGUGAAGAAGGCCUUCGGGUUGUAAAGCACUUUCAAUUGGGAGGAAAACCUACCGGUCAAUACCCGGUAGCUUGACAUUACCUUUAGAAGAAGCACCGGCUAACUCC